ACCCUUAAAAUUCUCUCCCACACGUUCUCUCCCUUCUCUGGCAUGUUCUCAGUAACAACAUUCUCUCUCUCCCUUAAAAAAUUUCUCUCUCUCUCUCACGCUUCUCUCGCAAUAUCUCCAUAGCAACGACAAUUUAUCAGAAAUCAAUACAAUUUCUCCAACUGCUCUCAAUCCAUUUAUAAAGAAGAAUGGAGUUGCUCUUCAUAUUCCGGCUCUCCGCUCGCCAUUGUUACAUGUCGUCUGCAUCAGGAAUGUCACCGCCAUUAACACCAUUUUUCCAUCUAAUUUCAUCAAUGAUAUUGUCGAGUCGUGACCUCGCCGAUGCCCAUUGUAGCAGUCCAGCGUUGUUUGACCGCCACCGUCAGAAAGAACAACCACCAGUGUCCCCUCUUUUAUCAGCCAAUCGAUAAAGAAGCUACCAUCAUCAUCUCCUAUUUCUUUUAUAUUUUCUAUUUGAGUUUCUUUAAAUUCUUGAUUAAUUUCUUAAUUUUGCUGAAUACAGGGUUUUGAUGUGUGUUUAUGGGUGAAGUUUUGAAGUUGGUAGGGAAGCUUAUGAACUUUGGUGGAGUUUUAAGGUAUCUCACAUUUAUUUUGAGGUUUUUAUUAUUUUAUUUUUUGAGCUUAUGAACAAGAAGUUUAGAUUUUAUGGUUACUGCAUCCUCUGAAUGUUUGUAAAAAUGAUGGAUAUCUAUAAUGAUUUUCAUUUGUUUGUCACUUGGUAUAGUUUCGAAAGGAUUUUGGUAGUUUGAGCCAAACUUCUGCUUUUUACGUAGUUAAUCCUGAGGUUGGCUCACUACUUCAUUUGGGAAAUAGUCCAUUAGCGAUAUUGUUAUAUUUUUAUUGACUAAUAUAUAUAAUCUUGAACAAAUUGUUAGACUUGGCCAAUUUUAUAAUGUCUGCAGAUUAUAUUAACUCAUGAACACGUUGAUGGUAUUCUUAGUUUGGAUGAUAUACGUGUUGCAACCUUUUAGUGCAACAAAUGACAUUAACCUGACUCCCAUCUUUAUCUCACUCAAGAUUCAAUGGAAAAGUAUAUUGCACUUUGAAAGAGCAAUCCGUUAAAUGCGGUACUGCAUUGGAAGAAGCCAGAGGCAAAUUAAAGGAGUGGAACUUGCAACUGAUUAUAUUAUUAGCCACACUAUGAAAAUUGUUCUUGAAGGCUGCUCUUUCAACCGUGCUUUUCUUUGAAACUCUGCAGAUGAUUUUUUUUUAGAUUUGUAUCGAUAGGUCCGGUUUCCAUGUAGCUGAAACGGCCGACAAGUCUUUGGCCAGACACCUUGAGGAUGACGACAGUCACUCUCUCAUCAUAGAGACAUUAUUCGUUUUGUUUGAGGUAUUGCUACUCUUAGAAUCACUUAUUGUUAAUUCGAAGUAAUAACCGUCUUGCAGCCAAUGGGAGAUACAUCAGAAGAAAAGUUCAUACAAGUUAAAACAACUAAAAGAGUUCGACGUUUAGUGAAAAAAAUGCUUACAGUCAUUUGAUGGAGGUCAUCUUGGCAGUGGACCCUUAUACAAUUUACAACGAGAUAUCGAUAAAACGCUAAUAUCUUGAUUUUAUUUGUUAUGUAAGGAUAUAUAUAUAUAUAUAUGGUUAUCACUUGAGGUAGUUCCUCAAGUUAAUUUAUACGUUCUUUACAGUUUCGGUUAUACUCAUAUUCUUAUAUAGUUUUUCCAACAGAAGUAGAACUGCUUUGAUUGUAACAAUAUAUAAAACAAUUUUCAGUUUGGUUUUUGUUGAAAGCA
Molecule: long non-coding RNA, 1743 nt
Organism: Salvia miltiorrhiza (redroot sage)
Lineage: Eukaryota; Viridiplantae; Streptophyta; Magnoliopsida; Lamiales; Lamiaceae
Exons: 2
Source: RefSeq, a predicted model, not a curated record